UGGGGAAUCUUCCGCAAUGGACGAAAGUCUGACGGAGCAACGCCGCGUGUAUGAUGAAGGUCUUCGGAUUGUAAAGUACUGUCAUUGGGGAAGAACGGUUUUCUUGAAAAGAUUGAGAAGACAUGACGGUACCCAAGGAGGAAGCCCCGGCUAACUACGUGCCAGCAGCCGCGGUAAUACGUAGGGGGCAAGCGUUGUCCGGAAAUUAUUGGGCGUAAAGGGCGCGUAGGCGGGCCUUUAAGUCCGGUGUGAAAGAUCAGGGCUCAACCCUGAGAGUGCAUCGGAAACUGGAGGCCUUGAGGACAGGAGAGGAAAGUGGAAUUCCACGUGUAGCGGUGAAAUGCGUAGAUAUGUGGAGGAACACCAGUGGCGAAGGCGACUUUCUGGACUGUAACUGACGCUGAGGCGCGAAAAGCGUGGGGAGCAAAACAGGAUUAGAUACCCUGGUAGUCCACGCCGUAAAACGAUGAGUGCUAGGUGUAGAGGGUAUCGACCCCUUCUGUGCCGCAGUUAACACAAUAAAGCACUCCCGCCUGGGGAGUACGGCCGCAAGGUUGAAAACUCAAAAUGAAUUGACGGGGGUCAUAGCUG
This 591-nucleotide ribosomal RNA is filed under the name uncultured bacterium. Its description in RNAcentral is "partial 16S ribosomal RNA". It matches the Rfam family "Bacterial small subunit ribosomal RNA", at positions 355 to 928 of the family's 1533-position model. The record is from RNAcentral.